Molecule: non-coding RNA, 257 nt
Organism: Schizosaccharomyces pombe (fission yeast)
Lineage: Eukaryota; Fungi; Ascomycota; Schizosaccharomycetes; Schizosaccharomycetales; Schizosaccharomycetaceae
Source: the annotation of a GenBank genome assembly
UUAAACGACGUAUUUUUUCUUUUCUUCUGUCCUGUGUACGUUCAAAUUUGCUCUCAUACCGAAAUUUCUUUUUGGCGGCAUUUUUAGGCUUGUGGGGACGCAAAGGAACAUCUGGUGGAGGAGAAAUACGAGGCGUGACAAAACCUUCUUUAGGAUAAGCAAUUUCUUCAUCAUCAUCGUCCUCUACAAUUUCUACCGUAACAUGCUUAUCAUCUUCGUCAUACUCAGUAGUUUUAGGCUCCAUUGAUGACUCUUCC